RNAcentral lists this ribosomal RNA (372 nucleotides) under uncultured organism. RNAcentral's name for it is "bacterial SSU rRNA". It matches the Rfam family "Bacterial small subunit ribosomal RNA", at positions 526 to 896 of the family's 1533-position model. The record is from RNAcentral.
CGGGGGGGGUAAGCGUUGUUCGGAAUUACUGGGCGUAAAGGGCUCGUAGGCGGCCAACUAAGUCAUACGUGAAAUCCCUCAGCUUAACUGGGGAACUGCGUGUGAUACUGGAUGGCUUGGAUUUGGGAGAGGGAUGCGGAAUUCCAGGUGUAGCGGUGAAAUGCGUAGAUAUCUGGAGGAACACCGGUGGCGAAGGCGGCAUCCUGGACCAGUAUUGACGCUGAGGAGCGAAAGCCAGGGGAGCAAACGGGAUUAGAUACCCCGGUAGUCCUGGCCCUAAACGAUGAAUGCUUGGUGUAGCGGGUAUCGAUCCCUGCUGUGCCGAAGCUAACGCAUUAAGCAUUCCGCCUGGGGAGUACGGUCGCAAGGCUG